CAAGGUUGAAACUCAAAGGAAUUGACGGGGGCCCGCACAAGCGGUGGAGCAUGUGGUUAAUUCGAAGCUACGCGAAGAACCUUACCAGGUCUUGACAUCUUCUGCCAAUCUUAGAGAUAAGACGUUCCCUUCGGGGACAGAAUGACAGGUGGUGCAUGGUUGUCGUCAGCUCGUGUCGUGAGAUGUUGGGUUAAGUCCCGCAACGAGCGCAACCCUUAUUAUCAGUUGCCAGCAUUCAGUUGGGCACUCUGGUGAGACUGCCGGUGACAAACCGGAGGAAGGUGGGGAUGACGUCAAAUCAUCAUGCCCCUUAUGACCUGGGCUACACACGUGCUACAAUGGACGGUACAACGAGUCGCGAAGUCGUGAGGCUAAGCUAAUCUCUUAAAGCCGUUCUCAGUUCGGAUUGUAGGCUGCAACUCGCCUACAUGAAGUUGGAAUCGCUAGUAAUCGCGGAUCAGCAUGCCGCGGUGAAUACGUUCCCGGGCCUUGUACACACCGCCCGUCACACCAUGAGAGUUUGUAACACCCAAAGCCGGUGAGAUAACCU
Molecule: ribosomal RNA, 550 nt
Filed under: Levilactobacillus brevis
Lineage: Bacteria; Bacillati; Bacillota; Bacilli; Lactobacillales; Lactobacillaceae
Description: bacterial SSU rRNA
Rfam family: Bacterial small subunit ribosomal RNA
Source: RNAcentral